UGGAUCCAGACUUUGAUCAUGGCUCAGGAUGAACGCUGGCGGCGUGCCUAACACAUGCAAGUCGAACGGGGACAGGAUGAAACCUAGUGAUUCCUGUCUUAGUGGCGGACGGGUGAGUAACGCGUGGGUAACCUGCCUUGUACUGGGGGAUAACACCUGGAAACAGGUGCUAAUACCGCAUAAGCGCACAGUCUCGCAUGGGACGGUGUGAAAAACUCCGGUGGUACAAGAUGGACCCGCGUCUGAUUAGCCAGUUGGGGGGGUAACGGCCCACCAAAGCGACGAUCAGUAGCCGGCCUGAGAGGGUGAACGGCCACAUUGGGACUGAGACACGGCCCAAACUCCUACGGGAGGCAGCAGUGGGGAAUAUUGCACAAUGGGGGGAACCCUGAUGCAGCAACGCCGCGUGAGUGAAGAAGUGAUUCGUUAUGUAAAGCUCUAUCAGCAGGGAAGAGAAUGACGGUACCUGAGUAAGCAGCCCCGGCUAACUACGUGCCAGCAGCCGCGGUAAUACGUAGGGGGCAAGCGUUAUCCGGAUUUACUGGGUGUAAAGGGAGCGUAGACGGCCACGCAAGUCUGAAGUGAAAUGCCAGUGCUCAACACUGGAACUGCUUUGGAAACUGUGAGGCUGGAGUGCAGGAGAGGUAAGUGGAAUUCCUAGUGUAGCGGUGAAAUGCGUAGAUAUUAGGAGGAACACCAGUGGCGAAGGCGGCUUACUGGACUGUAACUGACGUUGAGGCUCGAAGGCGUGGGGAGCAAACAGGAUUAGAUACCCUGGUAGUCCACGCGGUAAACGAUGAUUACUAGGUGUCGGGGGGUUAUAACCCUUCGGUGCCGCCGCAAACGCAAUAAGUAAUCCACCUGGGGAGUACGAUCGCAAGGUUGCAACUCAAAGGAAUUGACGGA
RNAcentral lists this ribosomal RNA (906 nucleotides) under uncultured Bacillota bacterium. Its description in RNAcentral is "bacterial SSU rRNA". It matches the Rfam family "Bacterial small subunit ribosomal RNA", at positions 1 to 917 of the family's 1533-position model. Lineage: Bacteria; Bacillati; Bacillota. The record is from RNAcentral.